RNAcentral lists this ribosomal RNA (253 nucleotides) under uncultured bacterium. RNAcentral's name for it is "partial 16S ribosomal RNA". It matches the Rfam family "Bacterial small subunit ribosomal RNA", at positions 524 to 776 of the family's 1533-position model. The record is from RNAcentral.
UACAGAGGGUGCGAGCGUUAAUCGGAAUUACUGGGCGUAAAGCGCACGUAGGUGGCGUCGUAAGUCGGGUGUGAAAGCCCCGGGCUCAACCUGGGAAUUGCAUUUGUGACUGCCCGGCUAGAGUGUGUCAGAGGGGGGUAGAAUUCCACGUGUAGCAGUGAAGUGCGUAGAUAUGUGGAGGAAUACCGAUGGCGAAGGCAGCCCCCUGGGAUAACACUGACGCUCAUGCACGAAAGCGUGGGGAGCAAACAGG